RNAcentral lists this ribosomal RNA (889 nucleotides) under uncultured bacterium. Its description in RNAcentral is "bacterial SSU rRNA". It matches the Rfam family "Bacterial small subunit ribosomal RNA", at positions 34 to 918 of the family's 1533-position model. The record is from RNAcentral.
CGCUAGCGAUAGGCCUAACACAUGCAAGUCGAGGGGCAGCAUAGGGUAGCAAUACUUUGAUGGCGACCGGCGCACGGGUGAGUAACGCGUAUGCAACCUACCUAUAACAGGGGAAUAAGCCCGGAGAAAUUCGGACUAAUACCGCAUAAAACAGGGGCUCCGCAUGGUGAUAUUUGUUAAAGAUUUAUCGGUUAUAGAUGGGCAUGCGUUCCAUUAGCCAGUUGGUGAGGUAACGGCUCACCAAAGCAACGAUGGAUAGGGGUUCUGAGAGGUUUGUCCCCCACACUGGAACUGAGACACGGACCAGACUCCUACGGGAGGCAGCAGUGAGGAAUAUUGGUCAAUGGGCGAGAGCCUGAACCAGCCAAAUCGCGUGAAGGAAGACUGCCUUAUGGGUUGUAAACUUCUUUUAUACAGGAAUAAAAAGAUUACGUGUAACUUAUUGCAAGUACAGUACGAAUAAGCAUCGGCUAACUCCGUGCCAGCAGCCGCGGUAAUACGGAGGAUGCGAGCGUUAUCCGGAUUUAUUGGGUUUAAAGGGUGCGCAGGCGGGAACUUAAGUCAGCGGUGAAAUCUCGACGCUUAACGUCGAAACUGCCGUUGAAACUGGGUUUCUUGAGUAUAGAUGAAGUAGGCGGAAUUCGUUGUGUAGCGGUGACAUGCUUAGAUAUAACGAGGAACUCCGAUUGCGUAGGCAGCUUACUAAGCUAUAACUGACGCUGAAGCACGAAAGCGUGGGGAUCAAACAGGAUUAGAUACCCUGGUAGUCCACGCCGUAAACGAUGAUUACUAGUUGUAUGCGAUAUACCGUAUGUGACUAAGCGAAAGCGAUAAGUAAUCCACCUGGGGAGUACGCCGGCAACGGUGAAACUCAAAGGAAUUGACGGGG